GUCCCAGUUGUCAGAUGCAUGUUGGGCACCCAACCGAGCUAGAGAGAAUUCAGAUCUCUUAAUAUAUAAGGGUUAUCCUUCUCAAGCAAGAGUGAGAAAGAAUUUCUUCAUUCCUCAUCUCUAUAAUUUUAGUUUUCUCAUUGAGAGGUAUGUCAUGUGUUUCUCUAAAUGCUGAUUAAGUCUGGAAUGUUUGAGGUCAAUAUCAACCCAAAUUUUAUAUGGUAAAUAUUUUUUUGCUCUACAAAUAGAUGUCCUUUAACACCUAUAGUUUUCAGAUUUGAUUUCUUUUACCGAGUUUAGUUUGUUUUGAUUUAAUUAGAACUGGUGAAGGGAGUGGUACAAGAUAGGUCAUCAAUUUUAAGUCCAAGAGCUAUAUCAAUUUUCUUCUUUUAUGCACUGAAAAAGACCUAGUGGAAACGAUAAUCCUCCUUAAGGAGAAUUCACACAUUCCAUCUAGUGCUCUAAAUGCAUAAAAGAAAUUAAAAAAAUGGUGGUAUCUACUAUAAGGAGAGUUCUGAACAAAGUACCACAUUAGUUUGGCAUCCUAUUCACCGUUGGAUAUUAUCAUUUUUGGGUCAAAGGCGAGAGAUGAGAUUUACCACAUCAAAUGGUGAACACUAGGGAUACAUGAUGCUAAUGUGAUCUCCAUCCAGUCUCUUUGUUGCAAGAAGAGGUAUCCAAUUUUUGAAGGAUAAAAUGCAAGAAUUUGCAGAGAAGCCAGGGUGGAUGAAUCAAAUUUGUAGCUCCGAGUUAUUCAGGGCCCGACUAGAGGUUGCUGCACAGGAGUCUUGUGUGUGUGUGUGUGUGUGUGUGUGUGUAUGCUGGUGUGUUUACGAAGUUACGGCAGCUUUAUGAUCCUCUCAUAGGCUUUGGAUGACACAACCUGAUCUGCCCAAGAGACCAAAGUUCCUGAAAGAUUUCGUGAUAAGCAUAAAACCCAUCACUCAAUAAGCAGUUGCCGCGUGGCACCCGACAACUCAUCAUCCAAACCAGAUGAAAACUAAAGAUAUCUGCGGGAAGUAAGUAACCUCGGAUCUGGGAUCCAAGGAAGAUCUGUCCUUCCCUCGAUUACAGAAUCACAGACAGACUCAAUCUCUCUAAGAGGGAAAGAGCAGGAGCAAUUUCCCUUGGACAGAGGGAUACUCUACGUUCAAGAAAGGAACUCGUGGAGGCACUUGGUUUUUGUAUCCAGGGGUAGCUGUUUGUGCUUGGUAGCGUGGACAUAUGAUCCCAUCCUCGACAUUGGGAUCGGUGAGCAUCUGCUAGUACCUUGUUCCAUGGGCAGUCAGCAGUACUGUUCUUGGAGAAUGGUGGGUGUCAAAGCCUAGGAGUGGUUGAAGGACCCAAAGGCAGUAACGAGGUCGUUUUCAAUUUGGAUAAGGAGCCAUGGAUAUGGAAAACAGUGGCAGAAGUGGUGAUUGCUUGUACUUUUAUGCUGGAUUUUACAAUGAUCGAAAUAAGAGAUGAACUUUAUUGGAGAGGAAGAAAUCUAUGUCGUUACAAUUGGAAUCUAGAGACCAACUUUACACCAUCUCCCCUCCCGUACGUGGGAAUGGCUUCCAUACUCCAUAUACGGGUGUGCAAUGUUGAGGAUCUAAUGAUGCAUUUGUCUUGACUUUGUGGAGAACUUGUGGUACUAUUACCACUAGUUUUUGUCGGUUUCAGUUACUCAACUAGAUUUUGUAGCUUAAAAGUUCAGGGAAAACAGUACCACCACAAGUUCUCGACUAAGUCAAGACAAAAGCAACAUUAGAUCUCAACGUAGCACACCCGCAUAUUGAUAAUGGAAGCCAUUCUCACGUAUGGGAGAGGAGAUGGCACAAUGUUGGUCUCUUGCUCCCAACUAUAACGACAUAGAUUUCUUCUUCUUUAAUCAUGUAAAGCUCCUCUCUUAUUCCGAUCGUUGUAAAAUAAAAUCCAGCAUAAAAGUACGAACAAUCAACUGGUGCAGUUGCCACCAUUUUUUCGUAUCAUUGGCUCAUUGUCAAGCUUGACUACGACCCCAUUGUUCAUUGCCUUUACCAAAAGGGAGGCACUAUAUUUUCCGGAUGAGAUCCAAUUAUUGAUUAAAAAAGAUUCCGAUCUGGUGAUUUACUAUAGAAUGUAGUUGUCCUUCUUUUCAUAUUUGUACUCGGGUUUUCUCCUAUUUUGGCGGGACCUAUCCUGCCGUUUUAGUGACCCUUUUCCCUCUCUUGUCAUUCCUGGAGAGGGUUUUUAGGGUUGCUUUCCUGUGUAAUCUCUUUUAUCAUUUUAAUAAAUCAUACAUUUACCUA
Long non-coding RNA from Macadamia integrifolia, 2273 nucleotides. RefSeq lists it as uncharacterized. The record is from RefSeq and is a predicted model, not a curated record. Lineage: Eukaryota; Viridiplantae; Streptophyta; Magnoliopsida; Proteales; Proteaceae. The transcript is spliced from 2 exons.